AGUCGAGGGGCAGCAUGAUUGAAGCUUGCUUCAAUUGAUGGCGACCGGCGCACGGGUGAGUAACGCGUAUCCAACCUUCCGUACACUCAGGGAUAGCCUUUCGAAAGAAAGAUUAAUACCUGAUGGUAUGAUGAGAUUGCAUGAUAUCAUCAUUAAAGAUUCAUCGGUGUACGAUGGGGAUGCGUUCCAUUAGGUAGUAGGCGGGGUAACGGCCCACCUAGCCGACGAUGGAUAGGGGUUCUGAGAGGAAGGUCCCCCACAUUGGAACUGAGACACGGUCCAAACUCCUACGGGAGGCAGCAGUGAGGAAUAUUGGUCAAUGGACGAGAGUCUGAACCAGCCAAGUAGCGUGAAGGAUGAAGGUCCUACGGAUUGUAAACUUCUUUUAUAAGGGAAUAAAACCUCCCACGUGUGGGAGCUUGUAUGUACCUUAUGAAUAAGCAUCGGCUAACUCCGUGCCAGCAGCCGCGGUAAUACGGAGGAUGCGAGCGUUAUCCGGAUUUAUUGGGUUUAAAGGGAGCGCAGACGGGUCGUUAAGUCAGCUGUGAAAGUUUGGGGCUCAACCUUAAAAUUGCAGUUGAUACUGGCGUCCUUGAGUGCGGUUGAGGUGUGCGGAAUUCGUGGUGUAGCGGUGAAAUGCUUAGAUAUCACGAA
RNAcentral lists this ribosomal RNA (654 nucleotides) under uncultured bacterium. Its description in RNAcentral is "bacterial SSU rRNA". It matches the Rfam family "Bacterial small subunit ribosomal RNA", at positions 60 to 703 of the family's 1533-position model. The record is from RNAcentral.